ACGGGGGUGGCAAGCGUUGUUCGGAAUUACUGGGCGUAAAGGGCGCGUAGGCGGCGAAACAAGUCAGAUGUGAAAGCCCCGGGCUUAACUCGGGAAUUGCAUCUGAAACUGUAUUGCUUGAGUCCUGGAGGGGGUAGUGGAAUUCCCAGUGUAGCGGUGAAAUGCGUAGAUAUUGGGAGGAACACCUGCGGCGAAGGCGGCUACCUGGACAGUGACUGACGCUGAGGCGCGAAAGCUAGGGGAGCGAACGG
Molecule: ribosomal RNA, 251 nt
Filed under: uncultured prokaryote
Description: partial 16S rRNA
Rfam family: Bacterial small subunit ribosomal RNA
Source: RNAcentral